This 347-nucleotide unclassified non-coding RNA is filed under the name soil metagenome. RNAcentral's name for it is "partial contains 5.8S ribosomal RNA, internal transcribed spacer 2, and large subunit ribosomal RNA". The stretch from base 1 to 120 matches the Rfam family "5.8S ribosomal RNA", at positions 35 to 154 of the family's 154-position model. The record is from RNAcentral.
GAUGAAGAACGUAGUGAAAUGCGAUAAGUAAUGUGAAUUGCAGAAUUCAGUGAAUCAUCGAGUCUUUGAACGCACAUUGCGCCCCCUGGUAUUCCGGGGGGCAUGCCUGUCCGAGCGUCAUUGCUGCCCUCAAGCACGGCUUGUGUGUUGGGCCGUCGUCCCCCUCCUAGGGGACGGGCCCGAAGGGCAGCGGCGGCACCGCGUCCGGUCCUCGAGCGUAUGGGGCUUCGUCACCCGCUCCGUAGGCCCGGCCGGCGCUUGCCGACGACCAUCAAUCUCUUUCUCCAGGUUGACCUCGGAUCAGGUAGGGAUACCCGCUGAACUUAAGCAUAUCAAUAAGCGGAGGA